UCAGCGGCGGCGUCUUGUUCUUUAAAGGGGUGGACUUGAAUGAUUACUGCUCUUGGUGCCAUUAUAUAACCUGUGCCCCUCCGAGCUGUAAACCAGGCUACAUUUCUUGUGAGGAUUACCAGAUCGGAAACAAACUUAACGUGACAUGUUUGAACAAUGGAAGAAGUGGCAUUUUUUCUCUGUCAAACCGUAACCCUGACGAGCAGGCUGAAGAACUAUGUUAUCGCCUUUGCGGUAAAUAACCAGACACAGAAAUACAACAUCUCUUAGGGAGAUUUCAUUCAAUAAACUUAUGUAUAUGAUUUGUUCUUACUGCUGCUGCUGACAAUAAGAAUGAGUCACUGUGGUUGUUGCCAUAGUUGUUAUCUCGUUAUAUAUAUUUCUCCUUGCUAUGAAAUUACUGCAGGAUGUAUAUUUAUAAGUUUGUCUGAAGGAA
Molecule: long non-coding RNA, 436 nt
Organism: Lathyrus oleraceus (garden pea)
Lineage: Eukaryota; Viridiplantae; Streptophyta; Magnoliopsida; Fabales; Fabaceae
Exons: 2
Source: RefSeq, a predicted model, not a curated record